This 2040-nucleotide ribosomal RNA is filed under the name Ortholinea lauquen. Its description in RNAcentral is "SSU rRNA". It matches the Rfam family "Eukaryotic small subunit ribosomal RNA". Lineage: Eukaryota; Metazoa; Cnidaria; Myxozoa; Bivalvulida; Ortholineidae. The record is from RNAcentral.
GCAUGUGUAGUUCAAACAUAACAAUUGUGAGACUGCGGAAGGCUCAGUAUAUCAGUUAUAAUCUAUUUGAUUGUCUUGCCCAAUGGAUAACCGUGGGAAAUCUAGAGCUAAUACAUGCAGUACAUUGAGUGGUGUAACAGCCGCUUAAAGCAUUUAUUAGAUCAAAACCAGCUAUGGUAGUGGGGUCUAACCCCUCCACUAUUGUAAGGUGAAUCUGGAUAACUUUGCUGAUCGUAUGGCCUUGUGCCGGCGACGUUUCAAUUGAAUUUCUGCCCUAUCAACUUGUUGGUAAGGUAGUGGCUUACCAAGGUUACAACGGGUAACGGGGAAUCAGGGUUCGAUUCCGGAGAGGGAGCCUGAGAAAUGGCUACCACAUCCAAGGGAGGCAGCAGGCGCGCAAAUUACCCAAUCCAAACAAUGGGAGGUGGUGACGAGAAAUACUAGAUGGUUUCCCAAAAGGAUGCCAUACUGGAAUGGACGUAAUUUAAGCAAUUCGAUGAGUAACAACUGGAGGGCAAGUCUGGUGCCAGCAGCCGCGGUAAUUCCAGCUCCAGUAGUGUAUUUUAAUGUUGCUGCGUUUAAAACGCUCGUAGUUGGAUCACUAAGUGUGUGUGGGUAGAUUGGCAGAGCAGUACACUAAAUCCAAUCUAUUGCAGGCUAGCUUUGGUUAAUCCAGGUUACGUCUGUGGUGGGUUGGAGUGCUGCAUGUCGAUUAACAGCCUACAUAUACUAAUUACAGCGUGAGGAUGGUGGUUGACCUUUAGUGCGUUGACCAUUGUGUCUCACGGAGUGUGCCUUGAAUAAAUCAGCGUGCUCAAAGCAGGUUAUAGCUUGAAUGUUAAUAGCAUGGAACGAACAAUUGUGUACAAUGUGUUCUGGUGCCAUACAUGCGUGGGUUUAUAUCUGCGUGUGUUUUGGUGUUGGGAUACAGCACCAACCGCCAAUAACGGAUGUUGGUUUCCGUAUUGGGGUGAUGAUUAAAAGGAGCGGUUGGGGGCAUUGGUAUUUGGCCGCGAGAGGUGAAAUUCUUAGACCGGCCAAGGACUAACAAAUGCGAAGGCAUUUGUCAAGACCGUUUCCAUUAAUCAAGAACGAUAGUGGGAGGUUCGAAGACGAUCAGAUACCGUCCUAGUUCCCACCGUAAACUAUGCCGACCCGGGAUCAGUUUUGAGCUUUUAAAACGCUCGUGGUUGGUCCCCCUGGGAAACCUCAAGUCUUUAGGUUACGGGGGGAGUAUGGUUGCAAGGCUGAAACUUAAAGGAAUUGACGGAAGGGCACCACCAGGGGUGGAGCCUGCGGCUUAAUUUGACUCAACACGGGAAAACUCACCUGGUCCGGACAUCGAAAGGAUAGACAGACUGAUAGAUCUUUCUUGAUACGGUGGUUGGUGGUGCAUGGCCGUUCUUAGUUCGUGGAGUGAUCUGUCAGGUUAAUUCCGGUAACGAACGAGACCAUAGUCUCCAUUUAAGGAGCUAGGGAAACCUAUGUGGACUGGUGUGGGCUAACCACUUGCAUUUGGUUCAUCUAGACGGUAGUGCUGGGCUGCUGUUGGACGCAGAGUGUGACUCUAAUGUGUGUUAAAGCAUGGAGGGGAAGCAUUUUGUUCUGGCAGUUGGUUCACCACUCCCCCUAGCCAGACAGUGUAUGGCACCCGCUGUGCAUUGUGCUAUGGAGAGACAACCUGGUAUAAAAUAUAAAGCAGGAGGAGGAGUGUCGAUAACAGGUCUGUGAUGCCCUUAGAUGUCCAGGGCCGCACGCGCGCUACAAUGACAACAUCAGCGAGUACCUGGGUCGAAAGACUUGGGUAAUCUUAUUAAUUGUUGUCGUGAUGGGGAUUGAUUGUUGUAAUUUUCAGUCAUGAAAGAGGAAUCCCUAGUAUGUGCAAUUCAUUAGAUUGUACAGAUUAAGUCCCUGCCCUUUGUACACACCGCCCGUCGCUACUACCGAGUGAAUGGUGUCAUGAUGCCUUGGGACUGGACGUUUGUUGAGCCUUUACGGGUUCAACCCGACGCCGGGAUCAAUGUAAAAUGGCGCAAUUCG